GUGAAUCACAGUCAGUGUGUCUUCUUAGUCUUUAGCGUUUAUUCAGUCAUUCCAUCCCCGUGAUGGACUGUAAGGUAGAUACUACUGUUAAGCCUGUUUUGCAGGUGGAGACAUCCUGGAACAAAUAGAUGAGUUAAAUACUUUAUUCAAAAUCACGGAGCCAGAAAAGCUGAAACGAGACAAUAAAGAUGUAACUCUUACAGUGGAUCUUUCUUACAGUUGCUGUUAGAAGGGGGUUACGAGGCCAUACUGUUACAUUCAAUCACUCAAAAUAUUGUAAAUUCAACAAUGGUAACUGAAGAAAAAAUUGACAGCUGCCUGGAAAAACAGAUAGUCACAUUCCUGGAUUGCUCUGCAGAUUUGGAUGAAACAGAAAGACAGCAGCUGGUCUUCUUGCUUGGUGUGAGCAGUUUGCAGCUCUUCGUCCAGAGCAACUGGACUGGCCCUCCUACGUACUCGUAUCCUCAGGAGAUUCUGUCGUCUCUCUUAUUCCAGCAGUUCAG
Molecule: long non-coding RNA, 503 nt
Organism: Dipodomys ordii (Ord's kangaroo rat)
Lineage: Eukaryota; Metazoa; Chordata; Mammalia; Rodentia; Heteromyidae
Exons: 3
Source: RefSeq, a predicted model, not a curated record